This 83-nucleotide ribosomal RNA is filed under the name Streptococcus equi. RNAcentral describes it as "16S rRNA. Bacterial SSU". It matches the Rfam family "Bacterial small subunit ribosomal RNA", at positions 1 to 83 of the family's 1533-position model. Lineage: Bacteria; Bacillati; Bacillota; Bacilli; Lactobacillales; Streptococcaceae. The record is from RNAcentral.
AAUUAACGAGAGUUUGAUCCUGGCUCAGGACGAACGCUGGCGGCGUGCCUAAUACAUGCAAGUGGAACGCACAGAUGAUACGU